RNAcentral lists this long non-coding RNA (206 nucleotides) under Lathyrus oleraceus (garden pea). RNAcentral describes it as "Pisum sativum (pea) long non-coding RNA (PSAT_LNC026770)". The record is from RNAcentral. Lineage: Eukaryota; Viridiplantae; Streptophyta; Magnoliopsida; Fabales; Fabaceae.
AAAAAGAACCAUACACUCCCACCAACAAUAAUUGGCAGCGCCUACCACCCAUUCUUCCUUCCUCUCUUUCCUCAUUUUCUUCAAAAACCAAAAAAAAAUAAACAUUUUCUCUUCAUUUCCACAUGAUAGUCUCUCAUGCACACAACAACAUAACACCAUAUGUUCACCAUUCUCUCACCUUCAACCAUAACAACUACUAUAAACUU